RNAcentral lists this ribosomal RNA (443 nucleotides) under uncultured bacterium. Its description in RNAcentral is "partial 16S ribosomal RNA". It matches the Rfam family "Bacterial small subunit ribosomal RNA", at positions 338 to 795 of the family's 1533-position model. The record is from RNAcentral.
CCUACGGGAGGCAGCAGUGGGGAAUAUUGGGCAAUGGGCGCAAGCCUGACCCAGCAACGCCGCGUGAAGGAAGAAGGCUUUCGGGUUGUAAACUUCUUUUCUGAGGGACGAAAAAAGUGACGGUACCUCAGGAAUAAGCCACGGCUAACGACGUGCCAGCAGCCGCGGUAAUACGUAGGUGGCAAGCGUUAUCCGGAUUUAUUGGGUGUAAAGGGCGUGUAGGCGGGAAAGCAAGUAAGAUGUGAAAACUCAGGGCUCAACCCUGAGCCUGCAUUUGAAACUGUUGUUCUUGAGUGCUGGAGAGGUAAUCGGAAUUCCGGGUGUAGCGGUGAAAUGCGUAGAUAGACGGAGGAACACCAGUGGCGAAGGCGGAUUGCUGGACAGUAACUGACGCUGAGGCGCGAAAGCGUGGGGAGCAAACAGGAUUAGAUACCCCAGUAGUC